Molecule: long non-coding RNA, 11635 nt
Organism: Alligator mississippiensis (American alligator)
Lineage: Eukaryota; Metazoa; Chordata; Crocodylia; Alligatoridae
Exons: 2
Source: RefSeq, a predicted model, not a curated record
GCAAGCCCAGCAAGUAACCCCCCUUCCAGCUCUGGAACUUUGUUGAUACAGCUUUUCCUUCUAGCGAGGCCAGCAAUCAGCAACUACGCAACAAGAAAUUUUCCCCAGCCUAAACAACCUACUCUAUGCCCUUGGUUAGAUAAAAUAAUUUUUCAAAACAUGCAAAGCUGUUCCCUGGUUAAAAUGCAGUGAAAGUCCAGGGGUGCUUCAUCACUAAGGGUGGCACAGAAUGUGUGUGUGUAGUUAGGGAGGCACAACGCAGUUUUGUGUCGUGAGGCAGGCAUGGAGUGUGUGUGUGUUUGGAGUGAGGGAUGCCCAGACUGUGUAUCUGGAGUGAGGGAGGCACUGUGUGUGUGUGUGUGUAGUGAGGGAGGCACAUAGUGUGUGUGUGGAGUGAGGGAGGCAUAGAGUGUGUGUGUGUGGGCAGUAAGGGAGGCACAGCAUGUGUAUGUGUGUAUUGAGGGAGGCACAGUGUAUGUGUGUGUAUGUGUGGAGUGAGGGAGGCACAGAGUGUGUGUGGAUGAAGGGAGGCACAGAGUGUGUGUGUGUGUGUGUGUGUGUAUGUAGAGUGAAGGAGGCACAGGGUGUGUGUGUGGAGUGAGGGAGGUACAGACUGUGUGUGUGGAGUGAGGGAGGCACAGUGUGUGUGUGUGUACUGAGGGAGGCACAGAGUAUAUUUGUGUGUAGUGAGGGUGGCACUGUGUGUGUGUGUGUGUGUGUGUGUGUGUGUGUGUGUGUGUGUGUGUGUGUGUGUGUGGAGUAAGGGGAGCAGUCCGAGGCCUUUUUCGCACGGCGGGCUGUGGCCAGCAGCCCGGACAUGCCGGGUCGGGGAAGACAGGCGGCACGCUAGAAUUAGGCACGGACGCUUAGUGGUUGAUUUAAGAUUAUUUUACUUACACCGAAGAUGGUCGUGGUGCAGGCAGGAAAACUUGCUUGAGUUGCAGUUACAAAACAAAACAAAAAACUCGAACCUGCAGAACAUAAGGGCACAUCGCAAUGGGGUUUCGGCGACGGGAGAUGAACAAAAACCUUAGGAGUACGUUGCAAUGGGGUUUCGGCGACGGGAAGAAAAAAACUGCAGGACUUGAACCUGGGUAGAGCUCUGGAUUCACUCACACGAAGUUUGCUAGGCUCCGUGGAACUUUGCGCACAGGGAAGGGUACGUCGAGGGAUCAGGCGGCGACGGGGAGAGGCGAGAGGUUGAUCAGACCCCUAUAGCCUUCUUGAAAUACACGCUGGGUCCGAUAGGCUCCGCAGUGCUUAGAGAUCUUCACGAGACGUGAAGUUCUCCUCCUCCUGAUAGUCAUGGAGUCCUCCAACUUGGGCGGAAACCGCUCAAGCCUCUUAUAUGGCUAGCAAGCCAAUUGCUAGCCGCCACGUAGGAAUAAUUUAGACCUGGCCAAUAGUGGGGCACGAAUCUGAAUACAAAUGGCGGGAACUCCUUGCAACGUGCAUUUCUCUUUUUGCAACUAAGAAAUGCACCCUGCAAAGAAAGCUACGAGUGGCGGGAAAUGAUUCAGCAGUGCCAAAGCGCACACAAACAAAAAUCACACCCUUGGCUUGUGACAUAAGGGAGGCUCAGAGUGUUGUGUGUGUGGAGUGAGGGAGCCACAGAGUUUGUUUGUGUGCAUGGAGUGAGGGAGGCACAGUGUGUGUGUGUAUGUGUGUGUGUUUGCAGUGAGGGAGGCACAAAUUGUGUGUGUAUGUAUUUAGGGAGGCUUUAUGUGUGUGUAUACUAAGAGUGGCAGAGGAGGUGUGUAUGUGUGCGUAGUGAGGGAGGCACAGUUUGUGUGUGUGUGGCAUGAUGGAGGCACAGAGUGAGUCGCUCUGUGUGUGUGUGUGAAGUGAAUGAGGCGCAGAGUGUGUGUGGAGAGAGGGAGGCACAGACAGUGUUUGUGUGUCUGUGUGGAGUGAGGGAUGUAUAGACUGUGUGUGUGGAGUGAAGGCAGGUUUGGUGUGUGUGUGGGUAGUGAGGGAGGCACUGUGUGUGUGUGUGGAGUGAGGGAGGCAUAGAGUGAGUAUGUGUGUGUGUGUGUGUGCACGGAGUGAGGGAGGCAGAGAGUGUGUGUGUUUUUGCAGUGAGGAAGGUACAGAGUGUGUGUCUGUAGUGAGGAAGGCACAGAGUUUGUGUGUGUCUAGUGGGGGAGGCACAGUGUGUGUGUAAUGAGGGAGGAAGAGAGUGUGUAUGUGUGUGUUGAGAGAAGCACAGUGUGUGUGUUAUGUGUGUUUUGGCAUUGAGGGAGGCAUAGAGUGUGUGUCUGGAGUGCAGGAAGCACAGAGUUUGUGUCUGGAGUGAAGAAGGCACAGAGUGUGUGCGUGCAUGUGUGCGUGCACAUGCGUGCUUGUGUGUGUAGUUUGGUGCAUGCAGUGUGUGUGUGUGUGUAGUGAGGGAGGCACAGAGUGUGCAUGUGGAGUGAGGCAGGUGCAGAGUGUAUUUGGAGUGAGGGAGGCUCAGAGCGUGGGGCAUACAGAUGGAUGCACAGUGUGUGUGUGUUUACUGAGUGUGUCACAAAGUGUGUUUGUGGAUUGAGGGAGGCACAGAGAUGUGUUGUAUGUGUGUGUGUGUGUGUGGAGUGAGGGAGGCACAGUGUGUGUCCGUGUGUGGAGUGAGGGAGGCACAGUGUGUGUCGGGGGGAGGGUGUGGAGUGAGGGAGGCACAGUGUGUCGGGGUGUGUGUUUGUGUAGAGUGAGGGUGGCACAGAGUGUGUGUGUGUGUAAGCAUGUGUGUUCACAGGGAGAGUCCCACAAGCACAACCCACUAUACACAUGCACCCACACCCCUUUCACACUGCCUUACCUGCAGACCCCCACACCCUCACCUCCUCACACACCCCAGCCAUACCCCCACAAACCCCAUACCCACCCGCACCCCACAUAUCCUCACAUAGCUACAUGGUCCCUCACCCUACACCCACCCCUCCACCUAUCCAUCCCCCCGCCGAGACAUAACCACACACCCACAGCUCCCCACAAAUCCAUACCCACCACCUAUGCCCCCUACCCGCUACGGUAUAUAAGGGUAAGGCUUAAUUUUAAGCUAUUGUGCAAUCACCUUUAUAUACACUCAAAAAUACAUGUACAUUGUGACAAAAAUAUUUUUUUGAAAACAAAUUAAUGAGCGUUGUAGUUGUUCACUUUUUAGAAUAUAAUUAGGUGUUUUUCUGGUUCUGAGAUGGCAAAGCCCCUUGCUGAAAGGAGUGUUCAUGUGGUUUGGGGGUGUGGGAGGGAUUGUGGUGAUGACAUAGGGCACGGCAGGUUGCUGAUCAUGGCUGUGCCCCACUGGCAGAUCACACUAUCACUGCCACAAGAUACCAGGAAGCCUGUGGUACAACUCCAUGCUAUGCCAAGUGCCCACUGCACACCCUGACAACAGGACUAGUGCUAGCUAAGGUAAGAAGCUUUAGCCAUCCCAAAAUUGCAUGUGUCCUUAUGCACAGCCCCACACAUCUAGACUGCUAUCCAUAGAAACCCCUGGUCAGUGCUAUCACAGAAUAGCUGCUGCAGGGGUCUCCAUGGAAACUGUCCCAAGACACAAUGGCAGGGACUUCUGGGAAAUGUAGUUCAUUACUGAUAGAAAAAAACAUGGUGGGACAGAGCAGUAAAUCCCCCCAGCCCUUGUGUCAGUAAUGAGGUACCUGGUGAUGGUCAUGGUGGUCCACCACCCGCUGUUUACAUGGCACCCUCAGCCACCACACCCAUCACCCAAGAAAAGCAGCUGCCACAGAAUAAAGCAAGGUGCUAGAGCAGCCAACGGUAAGUCUGCAAUUGAGGGGGUGUGCCUUGGCACAUGGUCACACUUACAUAUUUCAGGGUAACUUUCCUAUUUAUUAUCAUUGCAUUCUGGGAACCCAGUGCAUGGUGGAUGCAGAGUGCAUCGCUUAGGACAGGGGUGGGCAAUUAUUUCCGGUGAAGUGCUGUUUAGCAAGCAGCAAGCAUGCACCUGUCAAGGGCUGCAUGGGUAGCCCCACCCCUUGAGAGGUGCCCCACCCCCUGGUCACCACCUUGGGACCAGAAGUCCCACCACCUAACCCCCAAACUUUGCCAUCAGAAGUCCCACCUCUUCACCACCAGCUCCUUCCCCGCCAGUGAGCAGGGGGUCGGGGCUGCACGUUGCCCCCUGCCAGUACCAUGGGGCUAGGGACACUGGGAGUGAGUGGGCGGGGAGCCAGCGGGAGCAUGGCACCUACACCAGUGUGUCCUGGGGCCAGUGCCAGCAGGGCCCAGAGCCGGGCAGCAGGGGUACAGGGUCCUGGCUGGCAGGGGCAAUAUCGAGCUGGGCCAGCUCUCCCCUCUUCCUGCUGGUGCAUCCCAGCCUGACUCCAAAGACCCCUGCCAGCCUGCUCCCCACUUUGGACCCCACUGGUGCUGGCCCUGGGACAUUGGUCCCAAGACAUUGGGACAUUGGUCCUAAGAUGGUAACCAGGGGGCAGGGCUACCCAUGUGGCCCUCCACAGCUUGCCAAAACUGGGUAAGCGGCCCUCCACCCAAAAUAAUUGCCCACUCCUGGUACAGAGCAAAAUCAAUCGCUGUUACAAAAAUAAGUACCUUUAAGAAAAGAAAUACCUGUUUAAAAAUAAGAAAUAAAAAUAAGAAAGCCUUCCUCUGCCUGGGCAGCUGCUCCCUCUUCUUCCCCAAUGCCCUGCUGCAGUUCCCAUUGGCAGGGACCUACUCAUAGUUCAGGUAACUGCAGGAAGCCCUUCCACCCAUUCCACCCCCCACUGUCACUGGUUAUGAAAAAAACACACCAUAUCCAGAAGAAACUAUAAGGUACAAGCUUUUAUUUACAAAUUAAAAAUAAAUAAAUAAAAACCUUUUAUUUGUCAAGAAAACCAAAUAAAUAAAAACUACCUUUUAUUUACAAAUGCAAAAAAAUGCUUUUUUCAAGACAAUUUAUAUUUGUUUUUUUUUUAUUUAACAUAACUAAAAAACAAUUUCCAGUGCACAAUGCCAGCAUCACAUCAUCUUCUAUGUCUUAUUGUUCUGCAGGGGAAGAAAGCAAAUGUGUUUUGCCCCAUGUUCUCAAAACCACCUUCUUAGCCUCCCCCCUACAGGCUACAAAAUCAACUGUGGGAGAUUUCAAUAACUAUUUAUCAGUCUGGUAGCAGCAUAUCCUGGCUGAGGGGUCUGGGAUCAUGUGUGCCUGGGUUUUCUGGAAGGUAAUUAUAGAAGCAACACAAGUUACCACUAACAUGGUAACAUGUGCCAAGCCACACCCCCUCAAUGGCAAUUUACCACCUCUGGCACCUCCUGCUGCAUGGGUGGGUUCUAGGGUGGGUGCUUUUAAGAUGUGCGGGGGUGGUGGGGAAAGCUGAGCAAACACCACCACUGGUACUAGCCUCAUAGCUGGGGGUCAAGUCAGGGGUUUGUCCCUCCAUCUGCCCUGCUGCAAUCUUUUCCUACAUGAAAGGAACGUUUAGCACCAAUUAACUAGUCUUGCCAUGGCAUGUAAUUAUUGUGUACUACCUCUUAGUACAGUCAUAGCCAUGGGUAAGUGCUCCUGGAGUUUUAGCAAGCAGUCCCCCACCAAGCUGCAGGCAGGUUCAUACCAAUUCCCCUCCACCAAGAAGCCACAAACUCCUGCAGGCUCAUACCAACUCUCCCCCAGGUUUUAUUAACCCUUCACAGGACAUGAUCCAUCCCAUGGGAGCUAGGCUGCAGGGGGGCAGAGGGGCCCCUUCUCCUCCUACUGCUGGCAGGGGAGGCUGGGUGGACCCUGCUGGGCUGGGGGGGCACAUGCCCACCUUUUCUCGCUGCUCCCUGCCCCCACUAUGACCCAAUGUGCAUGUACACAGGUGGGCACAGACACAGGCACAUACACUCCACUGUCUCUGCACAUGGACACAGAACAACACAUACACCCAGACCCACACACAGGCCUGGGUUUAGCACACAUAUACACAGACCCACAUACACAGAGACCCCCCCCACACACAGACCCACACACACACAUGCAGACCCACAUACAGAGACACCCUCCCACAGACCCAGACACACACACAUACACACACAGGCUGACACACAGGCACACACACAGACCCACACACACAGACCCACACAAACACACAGAAACACACUUUCCCCUCAGAAUACCUCCCCCUCCUCCACUCUUGAUCAUGGAGGCAGCCCUCCAUCCCCCUCCCCCCAUGCCUCCCUCCCCUGCCACGAGCUUCCUGCAGCUCAGUCUCGCUCCCCCCUCUGGCCACUGCUAUAGUUACAUGCAGGGAACUGCUGUCCGCUGUCCCGUGCAGCCAGGCAGAUGCAGCGGGCCUGCUGGACUGGGCCGAGCCAGUGGUGCCAUGCCAUGUCUCUGCGAGUGAGCAUGGGCACUGGGAGGGGUGGCUGCAGGGGGCUAAGAUGAAUUUGGAGGGGUGGGGCUACAGCCCCCAAAGUUCUCCCAGUACUGCUGCCUGCAAAGGCACAGGGCAGCACAGGGCUCCUGGCCCAGCCCGGCCUCAACCUCCCCCCAGGUGGGGAACAGCUCUCCCAGCCCAGGUCAGCCCCCUCCCCCCAGACACAGUGCCGCUCAGCCCACCCCCUCCCCCAGGUGCAGCAUGGCUCUCCUGCCCAACCCUAGCCCUGUGGGCCCCUUCCCACACCCCAUUGGUGAAGGGGCCCCGCUUUCAGAUCUCAGGGAAACAAAUGUGAAAGCCGCAGUUUUAAACUUGGCGCCAAAGGUGGGCACUGAGUUUAAAACCGCAGCUUUCAUUUCCCUGCUGAUGAGGAUCCUGGGGCUGGGGCCCCAGAUUGGUAGGGGCCCCUGGGCUCAUGCACAACUGGUCUAUGCAUUAAUCUGCCUAUGCUUGCAAGUUGCCAUCCCGGCCAUGCAGAGAGCCAUGCCAAACUGGUUUGCAAUGUAGCAUAGGCUGGUGGGGGUGGCUGGUUUCAUGAUGGCCAUGGACACCCUCUUGCCCAGCCUGAUGGAGUGACUCAUGGCCAGCCUCACUAUUUUAAACCCCAGCAUUGAGACAAUGUGAUUAAAUGUCAUCCUAGUCAUUCAGAACAUCUCCAGCCACUGUUGAUUGUUCCAAGUCAUCAGAAUGAUUCGUUCCCACCAGUCAGAGCUGCUUUCAUGGACCCAGACACUGCAGUCACUGCUCCUCAUGUUGAUCCACAAAUCCCUGUCAGCUGCCAGUUCUGUGCCUGCCUCUCAGUUCUCCCAAUCCACCACACAUUUAACUGCCCUUUUUUGCAAGGUAUGUUUACAUGCUGGUAUAUCAUUGCAAAUGUGUACAAGGAUCAUCAUCACAUAUGUUGCAAUAUGUAGCUGUGCUUCUAUGCUAUCCAGUAAAUCCAAGACUAUCAGCAGGAGACUCAAUUCCAUUUUGUCCUCCUCAUUCAUUUCGUCCAGAUUCUCCAUUUCAGCAUCCUCAUUCAGUUCACCAGGAUUCUCCAUGUCAUCCUCCUCACACAUUUCAUCUGGAAUCUCCAUUUGGUUCUCCUCGCUCAUUACAUCUGGAUUCCAUGAAGCCAUGUUGUUUUCCAAUAUGCAGCAUGGUCACUGUUUAGCACACAGCACAACCAAGGUUCACUGGGGGGGGUCGUCUAAAUAGAUAUGGUAGCUGAAUACAGCUGAACAGCAUUGAAAGUGACCUGCUAUUUGCAUUUCAAUGAUUACCCUGCUCAGUAGGCCAUUCACUGGGCACUGGCACAGCAGAGACUUUACUUUGUACCAUGGUGGGUAGGUAUGAGGCAGAUGAUGUACCACCCAUCCACUGAGAAGUUAUGGGAUUUAGGAUGACCCCAGGAACCCGUUCAUGGACCUUAGGGGUAAGAUGCUGGACACUGAGUUUAUCUGGGCCUAUGUGCAGUAUUCAAAUGACUAAAUUAUAAUAUCAGUUCCCUUUUGCACAAGAAUGUAAACUCAUGGCUGGGACCACCUGAAACAUAACAGUUUCAGUUGAUACAGUUAAUCUCAUCUCUGACUUUGGUAUCAAGUAUAUCCCAUGCCCAACUGCUCUAAAUUGAUUAUGAAUAAGUUCCCCUUUCAAUGUGAUUGCCUCUUCCUUGUUAUCAGAUCCCUCACCAAUCUAGGUGUCUGUACCAGAGGUACCAGUUGGUACAGUGAGGGGUAGAAGAAGUUUUGCCUGAAGGAAGAGCUGCCAGCCACAGACUCUUGGGUGUGAUCAGCAGUGGGACAUUAUCAAUCUGUAUGGAUGAUGUGGGUUGAUUUGGGCCAGACUAUUCCUAUCACCGUUGCUUUGUUUGGAAUAGUUACUUGAUCAAAUUGCCCUGACUGCUAGUUCUGAGACACAUUUCACACCUUCAUAGGUAUGGGUACAUGAAACUUUCAAAAAGGUUUGUUCAACAUGUCUAUAUAACAGCUCCCAAAAUUUGCCAAAACCAUUCCGUGACACUGUUGUCAGGCUACCUCAGUCUUGACAACUUUUUGGGAUAAAAAGCUUCUCAAUGUCUCAGAAGAACAAGUCCAAUAUGCAGGCAGUGGACCAGGAGGCUGAUAUAUUUGUCAACCAUGGCCCCAACUGAACCUGAGAAGAAAUUAAGGAUUUGACUGACUUGUUGGAGGAAAAGAUCAUUGAGCAGCUGAAAAGUAGGAAGCAAGUGUAUACCACAAUAACAAAGCAAAUGAAGUCAUGCAGGCACAACCAGAACUGGACACUGUGCCAGAGCAAGAUCAAGGCCCUGAAAUGUGUAUUUCAUCAGGCCAAGGAUGAGAACUCUUGUUCUGGGGCAGCAUGCACAAUUGUUCCAUUCUAUGACUAGCUUUCCAUCAUUCUCUCCAAGGAUGGUCUUCUCAUCUAUCCUCCUGGUCAGCGGUUGUGGCCAGCAUCAGAGCAGCUGCAUUGGAUAGGUCAGCCUGCAGUUUCAGAGUUGGUGCCAUCAUGUGGGUUUUGGCUUAUUCAACCACAAUUCCACACUACCAUGAAAGGGGCAUGCUGGGACAUGAUGAGCUACAACUCUCUUCAAAAGUUAAGCAUCUGUUCUCUUGCAGGUUGGCUGAUCUACACAGGGCUUUAAAAUAAGUUCAUCAGGGGAUGGGGAUGCUGAAGACAGGAUGAACCUAGGAUCAACAAACCAUGAGCCACACACUGGAACAGUCCACAUGCCAGAGACACUCAUCUGCUCGCAGUGAUUCUGUACUCAUCAGACCCUAAAGGUAAGUAAAUAUUUCCUCCUCCCCUCUCCGUAAUCCAAUCCCUUGCCAUGGGUUUCCACACGGGUGCAAUCAGUUGCCGAAGUGAGGCUUUUAGUCUUCACGUGCCGUCAAUCUCGUACUGCCCUGAGGGCAGCGUUCCCUUCAGACACCUCCACUUUUAACCCUCCAGCUUGCCGCCUUCCAUUUAACUCUCCCCCAGUGUGAAACUCCCCUCAGCAGUGAACAAUGUCUAAUUAUCCUUGCCCUCAUCCUGGCCUCAUUCUCUGCCCCCUCCCUGGGGCUACCCCCUCAAGUACAGGGUUGUCUUUCACCCUGUUACAAUGUCCCUUGAGAAAACCAGAAUGUCUCUUCCCAGUGCUACAGUAGGUAGGUUGGCAGUAGUAGGGCAGUGUGAUAUUAUGCAUUCUAUGGAUAUAUAGAGCAUUGUUCAAUGAGGACAGAGUUAGCAUUGUAUAAGCAUGUAUUUUAACUCAGAAUCUACUAAUUUUAUGAACUGAUGUGUUUUGCUGAGAGACAUUUUGUAAGGACACAAAACAACAAAUAACACCAUCUUGGCAUUUACAUAGGUUUUAGGCAUUGUCACAAAUUAACGGAUGUACUCAAACUUCAAGCAUAUAGAUGACUAGAGGUAGCCAGACCAUCCUCCACUCCUGAGUGGUUGCCGACCAGGGUUCCGACUGCAUGUCCUGCUGCCUCAAGCAAGGAAGAAGGUGGCAGUUCACUAGUACUGGCCUUUGAGUCCAAGCUGGACUGCCCUUCUCUCUUUGGCCAAAUCAAAGCGAAAAACCAAUUCGGAGCUCCGAAUUGAAUAGCUGGCAUCCGAAUCGGCCAAAUCCGAACCCAAAUCAAAUUUGGAUCUGUGAAAAUUAGUAGAUCUGUGAAAUCUAUUUGCACAGGUCUACUAAUGGUUACCUUGAAAAUUCUGUAUCAGUUGGUUAUGCAAGUUAUGCGUAAUAAAUCAGUAACAGUUAAUUAUGUAAAAAACCUUUUCUGUCUUCUUUUCUUUCAGUGUACGUGCCCAUCAGAUCAGGCCAGGCUGCCAGGCUUUGUUCCUGGCUCUGUUGUCAUCAAUGCCAAAUGAACAGUUGUUUGCAACAUUAUGGAGGGUUGCUUAACUUGUAAAACUGGAAAAAAAUCAGUAAAUCCACAAGCUGCAACAGCACAGCACAUGGCGGGGGGAGGGGGGGAGCAGGGCAGGGUACUGUACUGAGGGUUAGGAGCGAGGGGCAGAGUCAGGGCCAGUGGUGCCCACGUCACAAGUUGGGGGCAGUAGGAUGGCUCAGGGGCCUCAGUCCUAGAAUGAGGGACAACAGAUGGGGCUCAACCAGGACACCUCAUUUUUUAACUUGGAAAUAUAGCAACCCUAAUGACGGCAAUGUAAGUGCUGGCUGCCUGCUGCCAUUGUGUGGGUCUGAAUGUGGGGUGAGACUGCAAUCAUGACUAGCACAGCAGCACAAAGGAGUGUGGAGGUAAUGGGCUGGCUGCACACAGUACUAUGGGCAUGCAGGCACCAGUUGCUCUAAGGGCAUCUGAAAAUAGCCCAGGAUGUGGCAGAUUAGGUGCCAUUCUUGCCUGCUGCUAUGAGUCUGACUGCGGGGUGACCUUGUGCAAUCACAGAUGCAGCAGCCAGCACAAGAAAAAAAAAGCGGUGCUAUGAGAAGGCAACACCAUUUGCUCUGUCUGACUGAAAGGUAAAUGAAAGCAGUCCCUUUAGGCACCCAAGCAGUUUGAAACCAUGGAUAAUGGGGUGAUGGUGCCGUUGUCACCCUGGCAAAGGCAUGGGGUGACGGGGCGGCAAGUAUCCACCCAGGAGAACAAACAUUGAUUCAGUGUUGGGCUGACUGGACCGCAACAUCUGGUGUGGAAUACCUGGUGUCUAAAGAAACACAUUACACCCAGUUACCAAAACAGGGCAGGUAACCUCUUCCCCUCCUAUCUGCAAUUCAAAGCACCCCUUUGUCCACCAGCUGUUGAACUACACGAAAGUUGCAGUGUUAUCUGGUGGACAAAGGGGCUCAUUACACAUCUUUGAAUACAUUUCUAUCUGCACAUGAUGAAUCCAUAGAUGCGUUUUAAUUCCUUGCGACCCAAACUAAAAUAUGUCGGGAUGCGUUUUACUUUAAAACACCAGAAGACUUUUAAAAUGCCAGAAAAACAUGCACGUGAAAACUGUAACACCAUUGAACCACAAGAAAGGGCAAAUUUUGUCAAGUGUACAAGCACCCUUUAAGGCCUAAAAGUGCCUAUUUAAAACACCCAACCCAUCUUAACUAUGGCUAGCAUGCCACGCAAUGACUGUACAAUUAAUGCAUCUUGGGAGUUGAGGGCAUAGAUCAGAUAGAUGGAAACUUAUUUUAAAGAAAUAUUUGCUUUAUUUAAAUCUUUUCUCCUCCUGCUACUAUUCCAGGGAAGUGUGCAGGGCACGUGCCAGUCUUUCCAGGGCAUCUCAGCAUCUUACUGUGAGUACGUUUCUUGCUUCUCUUUGAACUCAUAUGGCUUCUGUAGUAGCUUGGGAAUAAA